AUAUCAAUAAGCGGAGGAAAAGAAACUAACAAGGAUUCCCCUAGUAACUGCGAGUGAAGCGGGAAAAGCUCAAAUUUAAAAUCUGGCAGCCUUUGGUUGUCCGAGUUGUAGUCUGGAGAAGUGCUUUCCGCGCUGGACCGUGUACAAGUCUCCUGGAACGGAGCGUCGUAGAGGGUGAGAAUCCCGUCUUUGACACGGACUACCAGUGCUUUGUGAUGCGCUCUCAAAGAGUCGAGUUGUUUGGGAAUGCAGCUCAAAAUGGGUGGUGAAUUCCAUCUAAAGCUAAAUAUUGGCGAGAGACCGAUAGCGAACAAGUACCGUGAGGGAAAGAUGAAAAGCACUUUGGAAAGAGAGUUAAACAGUACGUGAAAUUGUUGAAAGGGAAACGAUUGAAGUCAGUCGCGUCGGCCAGGACUCAGCCUUGCAAUCUUGCUUGGUGUACUUUCUGGUUGACGGGCCAGCAUCAAUUUUGACCGCCGGAUAAAGGCGAGAGAAAUGUGGCACCUUCGGGUGUGUUAUAGUCUCUUGUCGCAUACGGCGGUUGGGAUUGAGGAACUCAGCAUGCCUUUACGGUCGGGGUUCGCCCACGUUCAUGCUUAGGAUGCUGGCGUAAUGGCUUUAAACGA
RNAcentral lists this ribosomal RNA (626 nucleotides) under uncultured fungus. Its description in RNAcentral is "eukaryotic LSU rRNA". It matches the Rfam family "Eukaryotic large subunit ribosomal RNA", at positions 40 to 647 of the family's 3401-position model. The record is from RNAcentral. Lineage: Eukaryota; Fungi.